UAGAUUGCUCCUAGCUUGUACGUGGGCGAACCCCGGCCUUGCGGCAAGCUGCGUUCCUCAGUCUGGUCCGGCACAUAUGACAAGAGGCUAUAACACACCCGAGGGUGCCACCUUCCUCCUGCCUUUUUCUACCGGAUCAAACUGAUGUUGACCCGUGAAAGGCAAAUACACCGCCAGAGACGGCUGAAUACCUUUCACACGACUGACUUCAAUCGUUUCCCUUUUAACAAUUUCACGUGCUGUUUAACUCUCUUUCCAAAGUGCUUUUCAUCUUUCCCUCACGGUACUUGUUCGCUAUCGGUCUCUCGCCAAUAUUUAGCCUUAGAUGGAAUUUACCACCCAUUUAGAGCUGCAUUCCCAAACAACUCGACUCAUUGAGAACGUAUCACAGAGCACCGGUUGUCGCGUCAAGUACGGGAUUGUCACCCUCUUUGAUACUCUAUUCCAAGAGACUUGGACGCGGUCCGGCGCGGAAAACGCCUCUAUAGAUUACAACUCGGACGCCUGAAAGACGCCAGAUUUUAAAUUUGAGCUCAUCCCGGUUCACUCGCCGUUACUAAGGGAAUCCUAGUUAGUUUCUUUUCCUCCGUAUUUGGAAUAUGA
RNAcentral lists this ribosomal RNA (603 nucleotides) under Vishniacozyma victoriae. Its description in RNAcentral is "partial 28S ribosomal RNA". The record is from RNAcentral. Lineage: Eukaryota; Fungi; Basidiomycota; Tremellomycetes; Tremellales; Bulleribasidiaceae.